Molecule: long non-coding RNA, 1458 nt
Organism: Odontomachus brunneus
Lineage: Eukaryota; Metazoa; Arthropoda; Insecta; Hymenoptera; Formicidae
Exons: 3
Source: RefSeq, a predicted model, not a curated record
UGCCGCGGAACGUUUUUGGUGACGAGCUAAGUACAGCCCGUCGUUAAAUGAGCCCUUGUUCCCCUUCUGCGGUUCGUAGUGAUACCCUGCCCAGCACCGCGGGCACGUAAUACGCUCGAGCACCGGGUGUACGGGAUGACCACGAUUUCCAGGCCACCGUUCGUCAUAAAUGAAAAUUAGUGUCAAACUCGAAAAGUGCAGUAAGACGCGCGCGAGCGACGAGGCGCGAUAUUGGAACGGUGACCGCGCUCGCCCCGAUUCUCCGCUAUACGUCGCCGUACUCGGGUCGCCGCGACGAGGUUAUGUCGCGCGUUCGUCCCUUGCCGUCGUCCCCGACGCAACGCGCGCGCUCGCAGUGAAUAGAAAUUAAUCUGUGAUUUGUUAUUUGUAGUGCUAAAACCGAGCCGGAGAGGUUAGGCAAAGAUCUGGCACUCUCCUCCAGUGCAGUGUGUGGCUUCACCGGAGAGCGUCCACCAGGUGUUUGCCGCUCCGGAUCUACCUCACGAGGAGAAAGAGAGUGUGCUUCACUUCCCACGUCCGCACCUACCGACUCGGCUGCACACAGAAAGAGGAAAGUAAUGGAGAAGCACCGGUCAGUGGUUGAGGAAUCUCCGCUGAGCUCAGUCAACAGAGGAACUGAGGACGGAUGUCGCCCUUAGGAUAUCCACGACCACGUCACCCUUGCUCCUGUCACUUAACUCACCGCUAGGCUGUGAGUACGCAGCGUAUAGUCAAUACUCUUCCUAUUCACUAACAAAUUUAACCAAAUAGUGCUCUGAAUUGCAAGUACUACUAGGAAACUGGAAGGACACACACUGGAAGCCUGCUGCACCGCUACAAAAUAUAAUAACCUCCCAGACAGCAACUGUCAAAGUGACAAGUCACCGCUGUGGAGAUUAGGUAUGUUUGUGACCCUGUGACAGGCAAAGGUAUUAUUGCAGCUGCACAGAAAAAGGCAGCGACGGUCACAAGCAUCCAUGCAACUAAAUAAAGCAGUCACAGUGCAGCAGUGGCCCGGAGAUAUGUAGGAGAGAGAAAAACUACUGCCAUAUAUUGGUCGCUGACAGUAGUCGCAGACUCACUGCUGACUCUACACACCUGCACAAAAAAAACCAGUAUCUAUAAAACAUGCAUGUCAUUGUAUGUCACCGCUGUUUCUAUUAGUGCAACAUUGAUGUGCCUCUCAUGGGUUUUCUCAUUGGCACCAUAAACUUUCACUACUGUUUUUAGCGAACAAACCAUGUGUGCGUGAAAGUCGAACGUUAUUAUAACAUAAAUUUAGACUUUAACAUGUGACGUGCCAGCGACAACCGUCAUACGUCCAACAAAUAGUUUUAAGGUCUAAUUAACAGCUACCUCCGCCUAAUUAAUUUAAAGUAAUUAACAUCGGUAACACUAAUUAGCGCACCGCGUGCCAAUUAAUUAGUAGAUAAAUAAAUAAAUGCCGUUAUUAGCAGG